RNAcentral lists this non-coding RNA (362 nucleotides) under Poecilia formosa (Amazon molly). RNAcentral describes it as "Eukaryotic small subunit ribosomal RNA". It matches the Rfam family "Eukaryotic small subunit ribosomal RNA", at positions 110 to 435 of the family's 1831-position model. Lineage: Eukaryota; Metazoa; Chordata; Actinopteri; Cyprinodontiformes; Poeciliidae. The record is from Rfam by way of RNAcentral.
GUUUAAACUUUUCACUAUUUUAUGUUACUGUGGAUAUCAAAUAUGAUGUUUUCAGCUCUACAUCUCCUUAACAUCACUUUCUGCCUGAGUCUUCCCCUGAUAAUCAUAAAACAUGAUCUGCUGGCUCAUUUAGACAAACACUGAGAUUCAUGAGGUAUCCGGCCGCUUUGGUGAGUCUAGAUAACCUCGAGCCGAUUGUUGGCCCUCCAUGGUGGCGACAUCUCAUUUGAAUGUCUGCCCUAUCAGCUUUGGAUGGUAAUCUACAUAUAUACUAUGAUGACCACGGUAACAGGAAAUUGGGAUUCGAUUCCAGAGAGGGAGCUUGAGAAACAGCUACCACAUCAAAGGAAGGCAGCAGGCGC